CUAUCUUUGUCCUGCAUUGGUUUGCAACUCUCAUACGAGGGAAGCGAUUAAAAGGGAAUCAGGUGUAAAUCCUGAACAGUCCCGCUGCUGUAAGUUCCAUAUAUUAUGUUGUGAGCAACUGAACUCAUGAGCCACUGGAUAAUUUUCCGGGAAGGCGUUCACAACAGGAAUAAGUCAGAAGACCUGCCAUGUAACCUAUUUCACU
This 205-nucleotide non-coding RNA is filed under the name Bacteroides faecichinchillae. The record is from RNAcentral. Lineage: Bacteria; Pseudomonadati; Bacteroidota; Bacteroidia; Bacteroidales; Bacteroidaceae.